UACGGAGGAUGCAAGCGUUAUCCGGAUUUAUUGGGUUUAAAGGGUGCACAGGUUGUUUGAUAAGUCAGUAGUGAAAGUCUGUCGCUUAACGGUAGGAUUGCCAUUGAUACUGUUGGACUUGAAUAUGGAUGAGGUAGGCGGAAUGUGUAGUGUAGCGGUGAAAUGCAUAGAUAUUACACAGAACACCGAUUGCGAAGGCAGCUUACUAAUCCAUCAUUGACGCUGAGGCACGAAAGCGUGGGGAUCAAACA
This 251-nucleotide ribosomal RNA is filed under the name uncultured prokaryote. RNAcentral describes it as "partial 16S ribosomal RNA". It matches the Rfam family "Bacterial small subunit ribosomal RNA", at positions 524 to 774 of the family's 1533-position model. The record is from RNAcentral.